RNAcentral lists this ribosomal RNA (402 nucleotides) under uncultured Candidatus Paracaedibacter sp. Its description in RNAcentral is "bacterial SSU rRNA". It matches the Rfam family "Bacterial small subunit ribosomal RNA", at positions 355 to 774 of the family's 1533-position model. Lineage: Bacteria; Pseudomonadati; Pseudomonadota; Alphaproteobacteria; Holosporales; Candidatus Paracaedibacteraceae. The record is from RNAcentral.
UGGGGAAUAUUGGACAAUGGGGGAAACCCUGAUCCAGCAAUGCCGCGUGAGUGAAGAAGGCCUUCGGGUUGUAAAGCUCUUUUAUUGGGGAAGAUAAUGACGGUACCCAAAGAAUAAGCUCCGGCUAACUUCGUGCCAGCAGCCGCGGUAAUACGAAGGGAGCUAGCGUUGUUCGGAAUUACUGGGCGUAAAGGGCGCGUAGGCGGCCGUUUAAGUUAGAUGUGAAAGCCCCGGGCUUAACCUGGGAAUUGCAUUUAAUACUGGACGGCUUGAGAUCGAGAGAGGAAAGUGGAAUUGUGAGUGUAGAGGUGAAAUUCGUAGAUAUUCACAAGAACACCAGUGGCGAAGGCGGCUUUCUGGCUCGAUACUGACGCUAAGGCGCGAAAGCGUGGGGAGCAAACA